ACCUGCGGAGGGAUCAUUACAAGUGACCCCGGUCUAACCACCGGGAUGUUCAUAACCCUUUGUUGUCCGACUCUGUUGCCUCCGGGGCGACCCUGCCUUCGGGCGGGGGCUCCGGGUGGACACUUCAAACUCUUGCGUAACUUUGCAGUCUGAGUAAACUUAAUUAAUAAAUUAAAACUUUUAACAACGGAUCUCUUGGUUCUGGCAUCGAUGAAGAACGCAGCGAAAUGCGAUAAGUAAUGUGAAUUGCAGAAUUCAGUGAAUCAUCGAAUCUUUGAACGCACAUUGCGCCCCCUGGUAUUCCGGGGGGCAUGCCUGUUCGAGCGUCAUUUCACCACUCAAGCCUCGCUUGGUAUUGGGCAUCGCGGUCCGCCGCGUGCCUCAAAUCGACCGGCUGGGUCUUCUGUCCCCUAAGCGUUGUGGAAACUAUUCGCUAAAGGGUGUUCGGGAGGCUACGCCGUAAAACAACCCCAUUUCUAAGG
This 482-nucleotide ribosomal RNA is filed under the name Cladosporium sp. 40a. RNAcentral describes it as "partial 18S ribosomal RNA". The stretch from base 176 to 329 matches the Rfam family "5.8S ribosomal RNA". Lineage: Eukaryota; Fungi; Ascomycota; Dothideomycetes; Cladosporiales; Cladosporiaceae. The record is from RNAcentral.